Molecule: non-coding RNA, 697 nt
Organism: Gopherus evgoodei (Goodes thornscrub tortoise)
Lineage: Eukaryota; Metazoa; Chordata; Testudines; Testudinidae
Source: the annotation of a RefSeq genome assembly
GAAACUGAGGCACAGAGCUGUUAAGUGACUUGUAAGAUCACACAGGGAAUCUACGGUGCAGCCAGGAACCAGGUCUCCCACCAGCGUUCUAACCACAAACCCAACCUUUCCUCGCUAGCUCGCUAUCAGCUACAGACCAGCCUGAAUCCAACGUGUUUCAAGCCCCGACCCCUCCCUCUUCCUUUGGGCUGGUUUCUGAUGAACCUUCCCCACCUGCAGCCACUUUCAGAGGCGUGAAGUCAAUUUUCCUGUGAGCAGCAACAGCUGAGAACCUCAGAUUCGGUCGCUAUGAAAGAAACCAUGGAGGCGAGUUUCAUUACCAGCAUUGGGCUGUUGAUUCACCUAGGUGCGGCGCUGGAUGACUCAGUCCACUCCAAGGACCCCCAAGUGUCCGGGAUAGAAGGAGACUCUGUGACCCUCAGCUGCUCUUACACUACCAGCUAUACUGGUUCCCUCUCUCUCUACUGGUUCCUCCAGUAUCCCAACCGAGACCCGCAGUACAUUCUCCAGAAAGGCGCUAAGGGAAGCAGGUACCAGCAUACUGCAGAUUUCGCCCAGCAGAGGUUUUCUUCCCAGGCUGCUGACAGCUCAACGGUUUUAACCAUCACCUCCCUGGAGCUGGCAGACACAGCGGUGUAUCUCUGCGCCCUGCAACGAGCACAGUGACAGAGCAACAUGGCAGAGCUGUACAAAAACC